UCUCAUAAUCUGAUAAUGGAGGGUUCCUUAGGAUUCCUUUUCCUCACUUUUCUAAUUAUUCCUCUUCCUCAUUUCUUCAUUUUCUGCACCGGACACACUCACUCUGAGGUUCGUUGCAUCGAUAGCGAGCGACAUGCCCUUCUCACCUUCAAGCAAGACCUUAUUGAUCCUUCAAACCGGCUCUCCUCUUGGACAUUUGAUGGGGAUUGCUGUCGCUGGGUUGGUGUUGUCUGCCACAACCUCACUGCUCACAUUCAACAACUCCAUCUCAGAAGCUUCCCUCCUGAUUGGGAUGUUUUUACGACUCAGGGACAAAUUGAUGCCUAUGAGCGGUCAAUGUUUGGUGGUAAGCUAAAUCCUUCUCUGCUUGAUUUGAAGCAUUUGAAUUACUUUGACCUCAGCUUCAAUAAUUUCUCUGCUUCUCCUAUUCCUGAAUUUCUAGGUUCAAUGAAGAGUUUAACUUCUCUUAAUCUCUCUAAUGCGAGAUUUGUGGGACUCAUACCUCAUCAACUUGGAAAUCUCUCCAAUUUGCUCCAUCUCAAUCUCGAAAGUUCUCGUUUUCUUGGUUUAUAUGUGAAUAACCUUCAAUGGCUUUCUGGUCUUCCUUUGCUACAACAUCUGGAUAUGAGUGGUGUAGAUCUUAGCAAAGCCUCUGAUUGGCUACAAGUCACAAAUACACUCCCUUCCUUGUUUGACUUGCGCUUGUCAUCUUGCCAACUUCCUUUCAUUCCACCGACACUCACUGUUAACUUUUCAUCUCUCCUCACCCUCGAUCUUUCAGAGAACCAAUUUGAAAACACUUUGAUCCCAUCAUGGAUCUUUGGUCUUCGUAAUCUUGUUUCUCUUCGUCUAUCUGAAAAUAACUUUCAAGGUCCAAUCCCUGUUGAUCUCCAAAACAUGACUUCUCUUAGUCACCUCGAUCUAUCUAAUAACCAUAUCAACUCUUCAAUUCCCAAUUGGUUGUAUAGUUUUAGAAGUCUUGAGUUUCUCAACCUUCAAUUCACUAAUUUGCAGGGAACAAUCUCCAGUGCCAUUGGAAACCUAACCUCUGCCAUUAGUAUUGACUUGUCAUUCAAUGAACUUGGAGGAAAGUUGCCAAGAUCAUUGGGUAAUCUUUGUAACUUAAGGGAAAUCAUAUUGUCCAACAACAAAUGGGGUCAAGAGAUAUCUGAAAUCUUAGAAAGUUUAUUAGGGUGUGUUUCAGAUGGACUAGAGAUCUUAGACUUAAGUAAUUCUCAACUUCAUGGUCAGUUGACGGAUGAACUUGGGGUAUUUAAAAAUCUAGUCAAACUUUUUGCUAGGUCUAAUUCAAUAUCUGGUCCAAUUCCAGUGUCUUUAGGAAAUCUUUCAUCUUUAACAUACCUGGAUUUUUCAAACAAUCUAUUCAACGGAACUCUCCCUCAAAAUUUUGGACAUUUGAAAAAUCUAGUGAGACUUUAGUUUUGGAAUAAUUCAAUUUCAGGUCCACUUCCGGUGUCUUUAGGAAAUCUUUCAUCUCUGACAUACCUGGAUCUUGGGAAUAAUCAAUUGGAAGGAACCCUCCCUCAAAAUUUUGGACAGCUUUCCAAACUUGAGACUUUACAUAUUGAGUCUAAUAUGUUGAAAGGUGUCGUGUCUGAAGUUCAUUUUUCCAAUUUAACCAGUUUGAGGGGACUUUUUGCAUCUGGAAACCAACUGACUUUAAAAGUAAGUCAAAAUUGGAUUCCUCCUUUUCAGCUUGAGUCUUUAUACUUGCAAUCAUGGAAUUUAGGGCCAAAAUUUCCCCCAUGGCUUUGUUCACAAAGGCAUCUACAGUCGUUAGACAUCUCUGAUACAAGGAUUUCAAAUGUGGUUCCUUCUUCAUUUUGGAACUUGUCUUCUCAGUUUCGACUUUUAAAUCUCUCCCAUAAUCUAAUCCAUGGAGAAAUUCCUGUGAUUUUGUCUGCUUCAGUGAUUGAUUUAAGUUCAAACCAUUUCAAAGGUCCAUUGCCUUGUAUAUCCUCUAAUGUGUAUGUGCUAGAUCUUUCUAACAAUUCAUUCUCUGGAUCUAUUUCUCACUUUUUUUGUUUCAAAGUGAAUGAGCACAAAACCAUAGGAUAUCUCAAUCUUGGAAAAAAUCUUUUAUCAAGAAUAAUACCUGAUUGUUUGAUGAAUUGGAACGACUUGGUGGUCUUGAAUUUGGGGUACAACAAUUUCAGUGGCAUUAUUCCAGCAUCGAUGGGAUCUUUGGCUUCUCUUCAAUCUUUGCACUUAUACAAAAACAAAUUUUUUGGAAAGUUACCAUCAUCUUUGAAAAAUUGUACAGAGUUGGUAACUAUUGAUGUUGCUGAAAAUAGGUUUGCUGGAAACAUACCUUCUUGGAUUGGGCAUAGAUGUACAAGCUUGAUGAUUCUUAACCUUCGCGCAAACUAUUUCCAUGGUCACAUACCAAAAGAACUUUGUGCUCUAGCUUCACUCCAAGUAUUGGACCUUUCACAUAAUAAGCUAUCUGGAAGCAUACCUAGAUGUGUUAAAAAUUUUAGCGCCAUGGCCACAAAUAAUAUUUCAAAUGACCACUUGAAUUCUUAUUCUUCUUUUACUAAUUAUGGUGAAACUCUCCCACUUGAAAGUGCAUUGCUUGUGAUAAAGGGAAACAUUUUUGAGUAUAGCACCAUUCUCCAAUUCGUAAAAAGUAUAGACUUUUCCAAGAAUAGUCUAUCAGGAAAGAUCCCCAUCGAAGUUACUAGUCUCCAAGGAUUACAAUCUUUGAACUUGUCAUAUAAUCUCUUGAUCGGAAGUAUUCCUGAGAAUAUAGGUGCUAUGGGAUCACUGGAAUCUAUUGAUUUCUCUUUGAACCAACUUUCGGGUCAAGUUCCCUCAAGCAUGUCAAGUUUGACAUUUUUAAAUCAUUUGAACUUGUCAAACAACAAUUUGACUGGGAAAAUUCCUUUAAGCACUCAACUACAAAGCCUUGAUCCAUCCAGUUUUAUUGGAAACAAACUGUGUGGACCACCACUUACUAAUAGUUGUACUACAAAUGGUGUAAAACCCAACAUAAGAAGUAAAGAUACUGGUGGACUUGAAGUGGAUUGGUUCUAUGUGAGCAUGUCACUCGGCUCGGUGGUUGGGUUUUGUGGUGUAUGUGGUCCUUUACUAUUCAAUAAGCAAUGGAGAAUGAUGUACUUUCAAUUCCUAGAUCAUAUAGGGUACAAGCUUAAGAGUUUUGUCUUGUAAGAUUCUUAAUAAUUUGUGCAAAUGUUAAAUAUUUUGAUCAUGUUAAAUAUUGUAAGUAAAUGUUGUCUUGAUCAUGUUAAUAUUUUGAUGAUUUCCAAAUAAUCUUUUUGCUAGUUAAUACUUAUAUUAUUAGUUAAUUCACUCCAUUAGCAUAUCUGAAUAUGGUGUUUCUUCCUAUGAACAUCAAUGGCAAUCCAAUUUGUAGUGUCAUGUAAUC
This is an RNA transcript of Quercus lobata, 3409 nucleotides long. It is a transcript of the gene named receptor-like protein EIX2, with no coding region annotated. NCBI's taxonomy places the organism in Eukaryota, Viridiplantae, Streptophyta, Magnoliopsida, Fagales, Fagaceae. The record is from RefSeq and is a predicted model, not a curated record. The transcript has a single exon.